Molecule: ribosomal RNA, 234 nt
Filed under: uncultured bacterium
Lineage: Bacteria
Description: partial 16S ribosomal RNA
Rfam family: Bacterial small subunit ribosomal RNA
Source: RNAcentral
UACAGAGGCCUCGAGCGUUAGGCGGAAUCACUGGGCUUAAAGCGUGUGUAGGCGGACUUCUAAGUACCUUGUGAAAUCCCACGGCUUACCCGUGGAACGGCUGGGUAUACUGGUCGUCUUUGAGCCAUCUAGGGGCUACCGGAACAAAUGGUGGAGCGGUGAAAUGCGUAGAUAUCAUUUGGAACGCCAAUGGUGAAAACAGGUAGCUGGGGAUGUGCUGACGCUGAGACACGA